CGCCAUCUUCGCCAACUUGGCGGCUCUAUCUUCCUGACCACUUCUACGAUAAGUCUUGGUCGGUGAGCCUUCCGCCUGCCCUUGACCAUGAUCACGCUCCUUAUCCGCACCGAAAACCAAUCUUCGUCUGGCCCCACCAUGGAUCUUCGGACGGAGAUCUCCUGAAUUAUGCUUAGAGGCCGUGCUCUCGUGAGCACUUUUAGAAGGACCCAGACGAUCCUUCACCGAAACACGAGGCAGUGACGAGCUAACAGCCAUCGCCUGCCCUUCUGGCGUACCAUCCCUACUCCUCAUCAUCU
This 299-nucleotide long non-coding RNA is filed under the name Panax ginseng (ginseng). RNAcentral describes it as "long non-coding RNA (PGIN_LNC016178)". The record is from RNAcentral. Lineage: Eukaryota; Viridiplantae; Streptophyta; Magnoliopsida; Apiales; Araliaceae.